UACGGAGGGUGCGAGCGUUGUCCGGAAUCACUGGGCGUAAAGGGCGCGUAGGCGGCGCGGUAAGCGUGCGGUGAAAGCCCGGGGCUCAACCCCGGGUCGGCCGUGCGGACUGCCGGGCUCGAGCACUGUAGAGGCAGGUGGAAUUCCGGGUGUAGCGGUGGAAUGCGUAGAGAUCCGGAAGAACACCGGUGGCGAAGGCGGCCCGCUGGGCAGUGGCUGACGCUGAGGCGCGACAGCGUGGGGAGCAAACAGG
RNAcentral lists this ribosomal RNA (253 nucleotides) under uncultured bacterium. RNAcentral describes it as "partial 16S ribosomal RNA". It matches the Rfam family "Bacterial small subunit ribosomal RNA", at positions 524 to 776 of the family's 1533-position model. The record is from RNAcentral.